RNAcentral lists this ribosomal RNA (496 nucleotides) under uncultured bacterium. RNAcentral describes it as "partial 16S ribosomal RNA". It matches the Rfam family "Bacterial small subunit ribosomal RNA", at positions 29 to 507 of the family's 1533-position model. The record is from RNAcentral.
AUGAACGCUGGCGGCGUGCCUCAUACAUGCAAGUCGAGCGAACGGACGAGAAGCUUGCUUCUCUGAUGUUAGCGGCGGACGGGUGAGUAACACGUGGAUAACCUACCUAUAAGACUGGGAUAACUUCGGGAAACCGUAGCUAAUACCGGAUAAUAUUUUGAACCGCAUGGUUCAAAAGUGAAAGACGGUCUUGCUGUCACUUAUAGAUGGAUCCGCGCUGCAUUAGCUAGUUGGUAGGGUAACGGCUUACCAAGGCAACGAUGCAUAGCCGACCUGAGAGGGUGAUCGGCCACACUGGAACUGAGACACGGUCCAGACUCCUACGGGAGGCAGCAGUAGGGAAUCUUCCGCAAUGGGCGAAAGCCUGACGGAGCAACGCCGCGUGAGUGAUGAAGGUCUUCGGAUCGUAAAACUCUGUUAUUAGGGAAGAACAUAUGUGUAAGUAACUGUGCACAUCUUGACGGUACCUAAUCAGAAAGCCACGGCUAACUACGUG